GACGAACGCUGGCGGCGCGCUUAACACAUGCAAGUCGAACGGAAAGGCCUGCUUUCCCUUGUGGAUUGCGGGUACUCGAGUGGCGAACGGGUGAGUAACACGUGAGUGAUCUGCCCCCAACUUGGGUAUAAGCCUGGGAAACUGGGUCUAAUUCCCGAUAGGACUGCAGGGUGGUGCCUGUGGUGGAAAACGAUUUACUAGUGGUUGGGGAUGAGCUCGCGGCCUAUCAGCUUGUUGGUGGGGUAAUGGCCUACCAAGGCGGCGACGGGUAGCCGGCCUGAGAGGGUGGACGGCCACAUUGGGACUGAGAUACGGCCCAGACUCCUACGGGAGGCAGCAGUGGGGAAUAUUGCACAAUGGGCGGAAGCCUGAGGCAGCGACGCCGCGUGGGGGAUGACGGCCUUCGGGUUGUAAACUCCUUUCGACCGCGAGGAAGCCACCUGGUUGGAAGGGUGGUGACGGUAGUGGUAGAAGAAGCACCGGCUAACUACGUG
RNAcentral lists this ribosomal RNA (494 nucleotides) under uncultured bacterium. Its description in RNAcentral is "partial 16S ribosomal RNA". It matches the Rfam family "Bacterial small subunit ribosomal RNA", at positions 28 to 507 of the family's 1533-position model. The record is from RNAcentral.